Molecule: long non-coding RNA, 8189 nt
Filed under: Populus trichocarpa (black cottonwood)
Lineage: Eukaryota; Viridiplantae; Streptophyta; Magnoliopsida; Malpighiales; Salicaceae
Description: long non-coding RNA (PTRI_LNC004200)
Source: RNAcentral
CAUGGUAAUUAAUUUGACAAAAACAGGGAAAGAUGAAGAACUUACCUGGCGAGGUUGCGGAUGAAGGCGAAGUUGAGGGAGACGGUCAUGCACUGCUCGCGGUUGAAGACCCGGUCUGUUGUUCACGACGGAGACAUGAUUUCUGUCGUGAAAGAGGGUUUCCCAACGUUGCUUUCAUGGAAGACGAGAGGAGCACAGUGCAGCUUGCCUGUGCUAUUUGCUGUUGCUGUACUGUGAUGCUGGUGUUGCUCCAUCUGCUGGACCGAAAGGAAGGCUGUUGCUGGACAUGCGGGGCGCGCAUCUGAUGCCGGUGGCUUCUGCUCUAGGAGGGGAGGAAAGGACAUAAGGGUUCCCUCUGCUGCAACUGCUGGCUUGUGUUAGCUCCCGGUUGCUGGAACGAAAGGAAGACUUCUUACUGGUUCUGCCACUUGCUAGGGGACAGUGCGGCUGAGGAGCACCUGUUGUCGCUGGUCUAGAAGGUAACCUUCUACUGCUCACGUUGGCAGCUUGCUGAGAAGAGGAUGCUCACAGUAGCAGUUUGUUGAUCAGAGGAGCUGCUGGCGUUUGUUGCUGAUGGUGUUUGAACACCAAGUUGCUGAAACCAGUGCCGCAGCUAUAUCAGAGGAAGGGGAAUCAUGGCAGCAAUUGGAGUAGGAGAGCCGGUGUUUCGGUGAUGAGGAAAGGAGGAGCGACUCCACUAUUGUAUGGGCUUCUCUGCCGCUACUGCUGCUGGUAAGAAGGGAUGUCCAUGGUGCAAUUUUCCUGGUCUCGAGGUUUAGUGAUAUCCUGCUUUGAGGAGGACCAGGUUUGAUAAGUUAACAGCAUGCAGUAGAGUUCAACCAAAGGAGGGGUUACCGGGAUAAGAAGAUGAAGCUGAUUUCUCUUUUCUUGGUGUUGGCGGCAGAGAUAUUGACAAAGAGAGGGUACUGGCUGCUGGUGUUGAUUGAUUCUAAAAAAAAAAAGGCAGGGGACGGCGGUUGGUCUCAGCAGGUGGUUCGCCGCCCCCCUUUUUUUUUUAAAUGUCUUUUUUAAUUUUUAAUUUUUUUAGGUUUUUGGUAAUGGUCUUCUGGGUCUCUCUGUUUUUAGGGUUUCUCUCUAAUCGUCUCUCCUCUCCCUCCUUUGUUUUUCAUACCCUGAGAUCUGUAUUUAUAGUGCCAGAGUCCCUUCGCUUGUGAGAAACCAAGUUUCAAUCAAACUCAUUUUCUUUUUUGAAGUUUGAAUUUGAUUAAGAAUCAAAUUUGAAAGCGGAUAACUAUCAUUAUCUUAAAGACAAGGAUUAUCUCGAAGAUAAAGAUUAUCUUGAAGAUAGGGAUUGUCUUGAAGAUAAAGAUAGAAUGAUAAAAGCACAUUGUAGUCCUUAAUUUUCACGGAAGUUGACAAAUCACACUUUUCAUCGAAAUAAAUCUCUGAUCUUUUAAUUUUUCAUUUUAAACCCUGUAAAAAUUAAAUUAAAAGUCAAAGGGCCAAAAUUGGGUUAUGACAGUUGCCCCCUCUUUACAAUGCUUACGGUGCAAAUGCAUUAGAAAAUUUAUUUUCUUUUGACUUUGUAUAGUAAGUUUUGUAAAGAAGAAUAAUUGUGAAAGCCCUUCCUCUUUUCCUCCUUAUUUUUUUCUUCUCUUUUUUUUUGAUUGAUUUUUUGCUUUUUUUUAAAAAAAUGGUCUAAUUGUUCCAGGCGACCUGCCUGAUAAAGAAUAAAAUGCGAAAAGGGUUUCGCGAGUGUUCUAAUUGUUCCAGGCGACCUGCCCGAUGAUUGAAAAAUACGAGGAUUUUUUUUUUGUAAUGGUAUAUUGUAAUGGGUUACCGGCCCAGAUGGUCACAUUGUAAUGGGUUACCUGCCCAGUAUAGGAUGGUAUAUUGUAAUGGGUUACCGGCCCAGAUGGUCACAUUGUAAUGGGUUACCUGCCCAAUAUAUGAUGGUAUAUUGUAAUGGGUUACCGGCCCAGAUGGUCACAUUGUAAUGGGUUACCUGCCCAGUAUAGGAUGGUAUAUUGUAAUGGGUUACCGACCCACAUGGUCACAUUGUAAUGGGUUACCUGCCCAGUAUAGGAUGGUAUAUUGUAAUGGGUUACCGCCCCAGAUGGUCACAUUGUAAUGGGUUACCGGCCUAGUUGGUCACAUUGUAAUGGGUUACCGGCCUAGUUGGUCACAUUGUAAUGGGUUACCUACUCAGUGGAUGGUAUAUUGUAAUGGGUUACCGACCCAGAUGGUCACAUUGUAAUGGGUUACCUGCCCAGUGAAAAAAUACGAGGAUUUUUCAGAUGGUCACAUUGUAAUGGGUUACCUGCCCAGAUGGUCACAUUGUAAUGGGUUACCGGCCCAGUUGGUCACAUUGUAAUGGGUUACCUGCCCAGUGGAAAAAUACGAGGAUUUUUUUUUAAGACAUGAUAGGGCUCGAAAGCGUAUUAUUCAAUAGAUGGAAGCUCGAAGGAAAUGAGGGCUCGAAGGCGCACUCAAAAGGAGGUAGGAUAGGAAAUGCACUACCUUUGAUGGUUGAGGGCUCGAAGGCGCUCUCGAAAUGGAGAUAAGACGAGGGCUCGAAGGCGCGCUCGAAUGGAGAUAAGACGAGGGCUCGAAAGCGCGCUCGAAUGGAGAUAAGACGAGGGCUCAAAGGCACGCUCGAAUGUAGAUAAGACGAGGACUCGAAGGCGCUCUCGAAUGGAGGUAGGAUAGGAAAUGAACUACCUUUGAUGGUCGAGGGCUCGAAGGCGCGCUCGAAAAGGAGAUAAGACGAGGGCUCGAAGGCGCGCUUGAAUGGAGAUAAGACGAGGGCUCGAAGGCGCGCUCGAAUGGAGAUAAGACGAGGGCUCGAAGGCGCGCUCGAAUGGAGGUAGGAUAGGAAAUGCAUUACCUUUGAUGGUCGAGGGCUCGAAGGCGCGCUCGAAAAGAAACAAGAUGAGGGCUCGAAGGCGCGCUCGAAUGGGGAUAAGACGAGGGCUCGAAGGCGCGCUCGAAAAGAAAUAAGACGAGGGCUCGAAGGCGCGCUCGAAUGGAGGUAGGAUAGGAAAUGCACUACCUAUGAUGGUCGAGGGCUCGAAGGCGCGCUCGAAAAGAACUCAAAAGGAGGUAGGAUAGGAAAUGCACUACCUCAGGAGUGGAAACUGAAAGGUGGUGGAAAAAUAUAGAGAUUUUUUAGGUGGCCUAAUUCUCAUGGGCGGCCUGCCCAGGUUGAAAAAUUCUCAAAAGUGAAAAUUUUUCAAAAGCAAUUUCAAUGUUCGCCAUUUCAAGUUGGCCUUCCGCUUGAUGGAUUCCAUUAGAAUUUUCUCUAAUAAAAUUUGCAAAACUCAUUAUCCAAUGUCUCAAAGUUUAAAUGAUAUGCAUGCAUCUUUACCUGAUUUGAAAUAUAGGCCCCCCAUUUCUUCUUAGUCUUCUCGUUGCUUGGUUGGUGAGAUCUUGCUAUCUGAUUUGAGUCAUCUUUGUCGUUUGGCUUUCUAGCCCACUUGAGUUAGCCCAUAUAAGACUUUUUCCAGAUUUGUUUGCACAACUCAGCUUUUGCGGUACCCAUCGUGACCCACAUGCUUGCUAAAGAUUUUCGGACUCGUCAAAUAAUUUGAUAGGAUCAUUCAUUACCCCUCGUCUCACUGCUAAAAACAUUCGGUGUCACUAGCUGAAAGGAUCCAACUGUCUUUUGUAAACCAAAAUACCAACUUGUCUUGUUGUAAGGGAUAAUAGACUUUCCUUAAACACAAUGUUGCUUGUACUGGUCAUUGCCCCCAAGUGUGCUAUGUCACUGACUUAGAUGAAUAAUGGUUUUAAGAGGCUAUUCUCUCAUUUGGUGAAGAAUAUGGGCUUAGAAUGAAUCUUGAAAUCCCUGAUCUGCAUUUUGAAAACAAAAAAUAUUUCGAUGUGAGUCUAAAACAAUUUGCUUUUAAANNNNNNNNNNNNNNNNNNNNNNNNNNNNNNNNNNNNNNNNNNNNNNNNNNNNNNNNNNNNNNNNNNNNNNNNNNNNNNNNNNNNNNNNNNNNNNNNNNNNNNNNNNNNNNNNNNNNNNNNNNNNNNNNNNNNNNNNNNNNNNNNNNNNNNNNNNNNNNNNNNNNNNNNNNNNNNNNNNNNNNNNNNNNNNNNNNNNNNNNNNNNNNNNNNNNNNNNNNNNNNNNNNNNNNNNNNNNNNNNNNNNNNNNNNNNNNNNNNNNNNNNNNNNNNNNNNNNNNNNNNNNNNNNNNNNNNNNNNNNNNNNNNNNNNNNNNNNNNNNNNNNNNNNNNNNNNNNNNNNNNNNNNNNNNNNNNNNNAUAAGGCUCAAAGAGUGUUUCAGGGUUUCAAGACUGAAGAUCACUGUCAAUAAUUUGACUUUUGACGUCAUUCAUAUUUUCUUUUGCCGCUCUUAUUUGAUUUGCCCCCCUUUUUUCUUUUUCUUUUUCAUUGCUUUGCUAGAGCAUGCUCACUUUAUCUUGGUUAUCAUUUUUUUUCUUGUGAUUUGGGCAUGCCCCCUAGCAUUUGAGUUUCUUGGGAUCUUUUGCCUUUUGGCUUUCUCACGGCUUUAUCAUCUUUCUUGAUCAUUGAAAUUUCACUUGCCCCAGUGUAGGGUGUGAUCUUAGUCGGGAUGUUUUUAUGAAAGAAAAAUUAUUCAGGCUCAAAAAGAGAUCGCAAGGGAUGUACUUAUUUCAGAAUGUGAAAGGAAUAACAAAGAUGGCCUUUCCUCAUUUCAAGCGCAAGCAGUUAAGAUCAAUAAACUUUGACCUCAUCUAGUGUGAUGGUUUGGUCUUUGCAAAGAUGCAUUUCAAGGGUCAUGAGCAACAAGUUCACUACAUACCAUUAUUCAUACAUUUAAAAACACAUGAUUCAAGAGUCGUGGGGUAAGGGUGUUUAUUUAUUUCUUUUUUUUUCUUUAGAGUUUGGUCACCUCUAUGAAGGAGUUACUUGAUUCACUUGUCAUUCUACAAGUAGAAUGUCAAAAAUAUCGUUUUUGAAUAAACAUCAAAUUAUUUUUGAAAUCAAAAUGCCAGAUCAAUUUUUUUCAAAACUCCAAUAGGGAACUGAUUUUGGUAAAAGAGAUGAAUUGCGUCUAUGAGAUCGCGCAAGGCUUCAAAGAUGUGUUUGUGAGUCUUUAUAAGAAAACUCUCUCAGAAAAAUGAAUAGUGCUUGGUCGUAAACACAAUUGAAUGAUAAACUCAUUAUUUUCAUUGAAACUUUGGAAAAGAAGUUCAACAACAAAGAACUUAUGACAACAUCUUGGGCUAUGAAUACUGGCAUGAUAGCAUAUAAAGGGGUUAAACAUUUAACAAUCAUUGAUUGGAAUUUCUAGAAUCAUUCAUUCUCCUUGACAAGGGCAUCUCUUCAACAGUCAAUAAUAUCACCAUAGCUUUAUCUUCAAGAUAGUUGAUUUCUAGGAAUUGGUGUGAAGCAAUUAGCUAUAGGAACGAUAAGUGUCUUGGCAACCACCUUCAGUGAAAUCGUUCUUCUCAGUCAGGUUAGCAAUCUUACCUAACCCAAUGGCUUGUUCAAUCCUCCCAGCUAUAACAACCAGGUCAGUGAAAUGUUGUGCAGAGCUUCUAACCAAGUAUUCAAAGUAUGGAGCUUUAAAGCUGUUGAAAAAUAAACUGAUCAUUUCUUUUUCCAACAUGGGAGGGUUAACUUGUGCAGCUACCUCACUCCAUCUUCGGGCGUAUUCCCUUAUGGACUCCUUAUUGUCCUUCUCCAUAGCUUGCAAGUUUAAACUAUCAGGGCCCACGGCUAUAUUGAACUUAUAUUGCCUUAUGAAGGCAUCAACUAAAUCCUUUCAUUUUUUAACCUUGGUAUUGUCCAACCGCAUGUACCAAGUAAGGAAAACAUCACUCAAGCUGUCUUGAAAGAAAUGAAUCAGCAGUUUUUCAUCAUCAACCACCUCAGCCAUUUUGUUGCAGUAUGCUUUGAGAUGAGUUAUAGGGCAUUGAGUUCCCGUAUAUUUAACAAAUUCUGGCACUCUAAAAUUUUUGGGAAUGACAACGUUGGGCACCAAACACAUCUCAGCAGCCUUUAUAGGAUCAUAUAGGUGAAUUCCCUCAAAUGCCCUCAUCCUUUGCUCUAGGGCAAUGAAUUUGGUCAGAUCAUCUUCUUUUACCAUAUUGCCUUUUUGAGAUCCUUUCUCUGUAGAAUCAAUGGUGGAAGAAAUUCUUGUAGGGUAUGAUGGUUGGAAAUGCAUAGCUUGUUGAAAUUCAGAUGACACCCUACUUGCCCCCAGAUUCUGUGGAUCGAAAUGAGUUACAUGCAUAUCUUCAGGCUGAGCUAUAAGUGUUGUUUUUCCGGAUUUAUCUCUCAAGGCCUGCUCGAGUAGACUAGUAAGCCUUGCGACUUCUUCUUUAAGAUUGUCCAACUCUUUUUGAUGUUGGGCUUCCAACUGGACUCUUUCUUCGUUUUCCAUUUUUCUCUUUCUCGAACGAGUGUUAUAAAUGGGUUUCAAUGGGGAACCUAUAUUUCAACCUGCUAAAUGUAAAUCAUGCAAUUAUGCAAAAAAUACUGAAGUAAUAAAAAAAUGCAUAUGAAAUGUAGACUCGCCCUUCACGGGAUGACAACCUAAUAGGAAGAUCCUAAUUGUUGAGUGCAUCAAAGGGUUGGUCCUUAUCUAGUUUAAAAAGGGUCUCUCGCAUGCUCAGUGAUCGUCCAUGAAAGGUCGAUAUGAGGCUUACAAGUAGUGUGAAAAUAGAGGCCUUGAGUAAUAUCAGUUUGGCAUAUCAACCACUUCCAAGUAAACAAUCAAGCGAGAGUUGGAUGGUUUCACGAGUCUUACACAGGCUAAAGCCGUUGGGGUACCGUUACUUUCCCGCCUAUCCUAGAUUUUCAGGUGUGUGCUCUUAACAUGAUGUAUGACAAUAUAAACAUGGAUGGAUGCUAAAGCAGUAAAUUCAGGAAAAAUAAACAAAUAAACACAAUAUAACAAACAUUAUAGCAAUUGAUAAACAAAAGGCAAAGCUUAGUCCAUUAUUCCCCAGUGGAGUCGCCAUUCUGUCGCACCCGACAUCGCGGCGGCCUUAAAAAUUGUUCAUGGAAAAGAACGGAUUUCUGGCAUCCUGUUCUUUAAUGGGGAAUGGUCUUUGUUUAAGGAGUCGCCACCUAGUAUUAUGGUCACUAGGAACCUUAACUGGUCAACAGAGAUUUUAUGGUUCGAGACUGGUUAUGUAAAAGGGAAGAUAUUAUCACCCCUUAAACAUCCUGCCUAAGGCAGGCUGCAUUGCUAGUUUCGUCGUAAAUUGCUAAAUGUUUAUUAGUUUAUGCUAUGAAAAUUUGCUUAUAAUAUUCCUGACUCUGGCGCCAGUGAAUAUUUAACUACGAAUAUUUCCAACUCUGGCGUUAAUAAAUAUUACGCAGCUAUAAAAAACAAAACAAAUUUAAAUUAAUAUUUUUUAUUCCUGACUCUGGCGUCAGUGAAUAAACAAAUAAAAUAAAUUUAUUUUUACGCAUGCACAUUUUUUAUUUUUAUGCUAAAUAAAAUAAAAUACAACGAAUAAAAAUAAUAUAAAUUUAAACCGGUAUUUAUUCCUGACUCUGGCGUCAGUAAAUAAACCAAUAAAUUUAUAUUAUUUUUAUUCACGCAUACACAUUUUUUAUUUUUUUUAUUUUUCCUACCAUUUUUUAUUUUUCCUUUCCCGUUCCUGACUCUGGCGUCAGUGAACAAUUUCUACGAAUAUUUCCAACUCUGGCGUUGGUAAAUAUCGCACAAAUCCAACCCAAAACUAUUUUUGUUUAUUUAUGUAGCCCGGUCUCAAAAACUUAAAAAAGGGGUCGGGUCACUGGUCCAAACCAGAACCAGUGACCCGGUUUGGCCACUGUUGCAUGCAUGCGUGAGUCAGGCAUGCAUGCAACAGUAACAUGGUAAUUAAUUUGACAAAAACAGGGAAAGAUGAAGAACUUACCUGGCGAGGUUGCGGAUGAAGGCGAAGUUGAGGGAGACGGUCAUGCACUGCUCGCGGUUGAAGACCCGGUCUGUUGUUCACGACGGAGACAUGAUUUCUGUCGUGAAAGAGGGUUUCCCAACGUUGCUUUCAUGGAAGACGAGAGGAGCACAGUGCAGCUUGCCUGUGCUAUUUGCUGUUGCUGUACUGUGAUGCUGGUGUUGCUCCAUCUGCUGGACCGAAAGGAAGGCUGUUGCUGGACAUGCGGGGCGCGCAUCUGAUGCCGGUGGCUUCUGCUCUAGGAGGGGAGGAAAGGACAUAAGGGUUCCCUCUGCUGCAACUGCUGGCUUGUGUUAGCUCCCGGUUGCUGGAACGAAAGGAAGACU